GGUCAAGUGACUAAGUGCAUGUGGUGGAUGCCUUGGCGAUUACAGGCGAUGAAGGACGUUGUAGCCUGCGAAAAGCUGCGGGGAGCUGGCAAACAAGCUUUGAUCCGCAGAUAUCCGAAUGGGGAAACCCACUCCGCAAGGAGUAUCCCUGACUGAAUACAUAGGUCAGUGGAAGCGAACCCGGCGAACUGAAACAUCUAAGUAGCCGGAGGAACAGAAAUCAACCGAGAUUCCCUAAGUAGUGGCGAGCGAACAGGGAACAGCCUGCAAGAGUUAACGUUUUGGUUAGUGGAACAGCCUGGAAAGGCUGGCCGUAGUGGGUGAUAGCCCCGUACGCGAAAACCAGGACGCGAGACUAAGCUUGCGACAAGUAGGGCGGGACACGUGAAAUCAGACCCGAAACCAGAUGAUCUACCCAUGGCCAGGAUGAAGGUGCGGUAACACGCACUGGAGGUCCGAACCCACUAAUGUUGAAAAAUUAGGGGAUGAGCUGUGGGUAGGGGUGAAAGGCUAAACAAAUCUGGAAAUAGCUGGUUCUCCCCGAAAGCUAUUUAGGUAGCGCCUCAUGUAUCACUCGCGGGGGUAGAGCACUGUAAUGGUUGGAGGGGUCAUUGCGAUCUACCCGCCAUAGCAAACUCCGAAUACCGUGAAGUGCGAGCAUGGGAGACAGACGGUGGGUGCUAACGUUCAUCGUCAAGAGGGAAACAACCCAGACCGCCAGCUAAGGUCCCCAAGCCAUGGUUAAGUGGAAAACGAGGUGGGAAGGCAUAGACAGUCAGGAAGUUGGCUUAGAAGCAGCCAUCCUUCAAAGAAAGCGUAAUAGCUCACUGAUCGAGUCGUCCUGCGCGGAAGAUGUAACGGGGCUCAAACCAUGCACCGAAGCUGCGGAUAUCCGUAAGGAUAUGGUAGGGGAGCGUUCUGUAGGUCUGCGAAGGUGUGGGGUAACCCUUGCUGGAGAUAUCAGAAGUGCGAAUGCUGACAUGAGUAGCGAUAAAGCGUGUGAAAAGCACGCUCGCCGAAAGCCCAAGGUUUCCUGCGCAACGUUCAUCGGCGCAGGGUGAGUCGGCCCCUAAGGCGAGGCCGAAAGGCGUAGUCGAUGGGAAACGGGUCAAUAUUCCCGUACCGAUCACAGAUGCGAUGGGGGGACGGAGAAGGUUAGGCAAGCCGGGUGUUGGAUGUCCCGGUUUAAGCGUGUAGGCCUGCUGCAUAGGAAAAUCCGUGCGGCUUAGCUGAGGCGUGAUGACGAGGAACUUCGGUUCUGAAGUUGCUGAUACCCUGCUUCCAGGAAAAGCCUCUAAGCUUCAGUCUGUGACGACCGUACCGCAAACCGACACAGGUGGGCAGGAUGAAAAUUCUAAGGCGCUUGAGAGAACUCAGGAGAAGGAACUCGGCAAAUUGAUACCGUAACUUCGGGAGAAGGUAUGCCUCGGUAGCGUGUAGUCCCUCGCGGGCGAAGCGCGAUGAGGCCGCAGAGAAUCGGUGGCUGCAACUGUUUAAUAAAAACACAGCACUCUGCAAAGGCGAAAGCCGACGUAUAGGGUGUGACGCCUGCCCGGUGCCGGAAGGUUAAGUGAUGGGGUGCAAGCUCUUGAUCGAAGCCCCGGUAAACGGCGGCCGUAACUAUAACGGUCCUAAGGUAGCGAAAUUCCUUGUCGGGUAAGUUCCGACCUGCACGAAUGGCGUAAUGAUGGCCACACUGUCUCCUCCUGAGACUCAGCGAAGUUGAAAUGUUUGUGAAGAUGCAAUCUACCCGCGGCUAGACGGAAAGACCCCAUGAACCUUUACUGUAGCUUUGCAUUGGACUUUGACGGGACUUGUGUAGGAUAGGUGGGAGGCUGUGAGGCGUGGUCGCCAGAUCGCGCGGAGCCAACCUUGAAAUACCACCCUGGUGUCGUUGAGGUUCUAACCUUGGUCCGUGAAUCCGGAUCGGGGACCGUGCAUGGCAGGCAGUUUGACUGGGGCGGUCUCCUCCCAAAGAGUAACGGAGGAGUACGAAGGUCUUCUAAGCACGGUCGGACAUCGUGCUCAUAGUGCAAUGGCAAAAGAAGGCUUGACUGCGAGACCCACAAGUCGAGCAGGUGCGAAAGCAGGUCAUAGUGAUCCGGUGGUUCUGUAUGGAAGGGCCAUCGCUCAACGGAUAAAAGGUACUCUGGGGAUAACAGGCUGAUUCCGCCCAAGAGUUCAUAUCGACGGCGGAGUUUGGCACCUCGAUGUCGGCUCAUCACAUCCUGGGGCUGUAGCCGGUCCCAAGGGUAUGGCUGUUCGCCAUUUAAAGUGGUACGUGAGCUGGGUUUAAAACGUCGUGAGACAGUUUGGUCCCUAUUCGCCGUGGGCGUUGGAUAUUUGAGGGGGCCUGCUCCUAGUACGAGAGGACCGGAGUGGACGGAUCUCUGGGUACCGGUUGUCACGCCAGUGGCAUCGCCGGGUAGCUAAAUCCGGAAGAGAUAAACGCUGAAAGCAUCUAAGCGUGAAACUCGCCUCAAGAUGAGAUAUCCCGGGGGUUCAACCCCCCUGAAGGGUCGUCCAAGACCAGGACGUUGAUAGGUCAGGUGUGGAAGCGCAGCGAUGCGUUAAGCUAACUGAUACUAAUUGCCCGUGCGGCUUGACCCU
RNAcentral lists this ribosomal RNA (2610 nucleotides) under Sulfuritalea sp. Its description in RNAcentral is "23S ribosomal RNA". It matches the Rfam family "Bacterial large subunit ribosomal RNA". The record is from RNAcentral. Lineage: Bacteria; Pseudomonadati; Pseudomonadota; Betaproteobacteria; Nitrosomonadales; Sterolibacteriaceae.